RNAcentral lists this long non-coding RNA (578 nucleotides) under Setaria viridis. Its description in RNAcentral is "long non-coding RNA (SVIR_LNC002462)". Lineage: Eukaryota; Viridiplantae; Streptophyta; Magnoliopsida; Poales; Poaceae. The record is from RNAcentral.
GAGCUGCCGCCGCACCCCACCGUGCCGGAGCUCCCAAAGCCUGAGCUGCCUCCACACCCUACCGUGCCAGAGCACUCAAAGCCUGAACUGCCACCGCACCCCACCGAGCCAGAGCACCCGAAGCAGCCUGAACUGCCACCGCACCCUACCUUGCCGUAGUUGCCCAAGCCUGAACUGCCACCGCACCCCACCGUGCCGGAGCACCCAAAGCCGGAGCUGCCGCACCCGGAGCUGCCGAAGCCUGAAAUGCCGCCUCAUCCCGAAGUACCGGAGCUGCCAAAGCCAGAAGCGCCUCACGUGCCGGAGGUGCCGAAGCCGGAGGGCCACUAACCGGUGCCAGAGGCCAAGCCAUGAUCGAGCUACACCCGUGUUGCCCCAGUAAUAAAAUACGUUCUGUACUUGUGUGUAUCUGAGAUGUCGCAGUAGGAGCCUGACGUUCAGGGUUGUACGUUGUGCUACUUUGAUUUGUCGGUUGAUGAUGUUACCCGUGUAUUGCUUUUGGCGUAUGAUAUAUAUACAUGUAUUAUUUCAUUACAUUAUUAUGGUCUCUUAUUAUAUAAUCCUUCCAUUUGUAAUUU